RNAcentral lists this ribosomal RNA (402 nucleotides) under Verrucomicrobiota bacterium. Its description in RNAcentral is "Verrucomicrobia bacterium partial 16S ribosomal RNA". It matches the Rfam family "Bacterial small subunit ribosomal RNA", at positions 355 to 776 of the family's 1533-position model. Lineage: Bacteria; Pseudomonadati; Verrucomicrobiota. The record is from RNAcentral.
UGGAGAAUUUUGCACAAUUGGGGAAACCCUGAUGCAGCGACGCCGCGUGCUUUAGAAGGCCUUCGGGUUGUAAAAAUCUUUUGUAUGGGAAAAAAAUGACAGUACCAUACGAAUAAGGACCGGCUAAUUACGUGCCAGCAUCCGCGGUAAUACGUAAGGUCCGAGCGUUGUCCGGAAUCAUUUGGCGUAAAGGGUACGUAGGCGGAUAAGCAAGUUAGAAGUGAAAUCCUAUAGCUCAACUAUAGUAAGCUUUUAAAACUGCUCAUCUUGAGGUAUGGAAGGGAAAGUGGAAUUCCUAGUGUAGCGGUGAAAUGAGCAGAUAUUAGGAGGAAUACCGGUGGCGAAGGCGACUUUCUGGCCAUAAACUGACGCUGAGGUACGAAAGCGUGGGUAGCAAACAGG